GGGUUGUGAGGUUAAGCGACUAAGCGUACACGGUGGAUGCCCUGGCAGUCAGAGGCGAUGAAGGACGUGCUAAUCUGCGAUAAGCGUCGGUAAGGUGAUAUGAACCGUUAUAACCGGCGAUUUCCGAAUGGGGAAACCCAGUGUGUUUCGACACACUAUCAUUAACUGAAUCCAUAGGUUAAUGAGGCGAACCGGGGGAACUGAAACAUCUAAGUACCCCGAGGAAAAGAAAUCAACCGAGAUUCCCCAGUAGCGGCGAGCGAACGGGGAGGAGCCCAGAGCCUGAAUCAGUGUGUGUGUUAGUGGAAGCGUCUGGAAAGGCGCGCGAUACAGGGUGACAGCCCCGUACACAAAAAUGCACAUGCUGUGAGCUCGAUGAGUAGGGCGGGACACGUGGUAUCCUGUCUGAAUAUGGGGGGACCAUCCUCCAAGGCUAAAUACUCCUGACUGACCGAUAGUGAACCAGUACCGUGAGGGAAAGGCGAAAAGAACCCCGGCGAGGGGAGUGAAAAAGAACCUGAAACCGUGUACGUACAAGCAGUGGGAGCACGCUUAGGCGUGUGACUGCGUACCUUUUGUAUAAUGGGUCAGCGACUUAUAUUCUGUAGCAAGGUUAACCGAAUAGGGGAGCCGAAGGGAAACCGAGUCUUAACUGGGCGUUAAGUUGCAGGGUAUAGACCCGAAACCCGGUGAUCUAGCCAUGGGCAGGUUGAAGGUUGGGUAACACUAACUGGAGGACCGAACCGACUAAUGUUGAAAAAUUAGCGGAUGACUUGUGGCUGGGGGUGAAAGGCCAAUCAAACCGGGAGAUAGCUGGUUCUCCCCGAAAGCUAUUUAGGUAGCGCCUCGUGAAUUCAUCUCCGGGGGUAGAGCACUGUUUCGGCAAGGGGGUCAUCCCGACUUACCAACCCGAUGCAAACUGCGAAUACCGGAGAAUGUUAUCACGGGAGACACACGGCGGGUGCUAACGUCCGUCGUGAAGAGGGAAACAACCCAGACCGCCAGCUAAGGUCCCAAAGUCAUGGUUAAGUGGGAAACGAUGUGGGAAGGCCCAGACAGCCAGGAUGUUGGCUUAGAAGCAGCCAUCAUUUAAAGAAAGCGUAAUAGCUCACUGGUCGAGUCGGCCUGCGCGGAAGAUGUAACGGGGCUAAACCAUGCACCGAAGCUGCGGCAGCGACGCUUAUGCGUUGUUGGGUAGGGGAGCGUUCUGUAAGCCUGUGAAGGUGUGCUGUGAGGCAUGCUGGAGGUAUCAGAAGUGCGAAUGCUGACAUAAGUAACGAUAAAGCGGGUGAAAAGCCCGCUCGCCGGAAGACCAAGGGUUCCUGUCCAACGUUAAUCGGGGCAGGGUGAGUCGACCCCUAAGGCGAGGCCGAAAGGCGUAGUCGAUGGGAAACAGGUUAAUAUUCCUGUACUUGGUGUUACUGCGAAGGGGGGACGGAGAAGGCUAUGUUGGCCGGGCGACGGUUGUCCCGGUUUAAGCGUGUAGGCUGGUUUUCCAGGCAAAUCCGGAAAAUCAAGGCUGAGGCGUGAUGACGAGGCACUACGGUGCUGAAGCAACAAAUGCCCUGCUUCCAGGAAAAGCCUCUAAGCAUCAGGUAACAUCAAAUCGUACCCCAAACCGACACAGGUGGUCAGGUAGAGAAUACCAAGGCGCUUGAGAGAACUCGGGUGAAGGAACUAGGCAAAAUGGUGCCGUAACUUCGGGAGAAGGCACGCUGAUAUGUAGGUGAAGCGACUUGCUCGUGGAGCUGAAAUCAGUCGAAGAUACCAGCUGGCUGCAACUGUUUAUUAAAAACACAGCACUGUGCAAACACGAAAGUGGACGUAUACGGUGUGACGCCUGCCCGGUGCCGGAAGGUUAAUUGAUGGGGUCAGCGCAAGCGAAGCUCUUGAUCGAAGCCCCGGUAAACGGCGGCCGUAACUAUAACGGUCCUAAGGUAGCGAAAUUCCUUGUCGGGUAAGUUCCGACCUGCACGAAUGGCGUAAUGAUGGCCAGGCUGUCUCCACCCGAGACUCAGUGAAAUUGAACUCGCUGUGAAGAUGCAGUGUACCCGCGGCAAGACGGAAAGACCCCGUGAACCUUUACUAUAGCUUGACACUGAACAUUGAGCCUUGAUGUGUAGGAUAGGUGGGAGGCUUAGAAGUGUGGACGCCAGUCUGCAUGGAGCCGACCUUGAAAUACCACCCUUUAAUGUUUGAUGUUCUAACGUUGACCCGUAAUCCGGGUUGCGGACAGUGUCUGGUGGGUAGUUUGACUGGGGCGGUCUCCUCCUAAAGAGUAACGGAGGAGCACGAAGGUUGGCUAAUCCUGGUCGGACAUCAGGAGGUUAGUGCAAUGGCAUAAGCCAGCUUGACUGCGAGCGUGACGGCGCGAGCAGGUGCGAAAGCAGGUCAUAGUGAUCCGGUGGUUCUGAAUGGAAGGGCCAUCGCUCAACGGAUAAAAGGUACUCCGGGGAUAACAGGCUGAUACCGCCCAAGAGUUCAUAUCGACGGCGGUGUUUGGCACCUCGAUGUCGGCUCAUCACAUCCUGGGGCUGAAGUAGGUCCCAAGGGUAUGGCUGUUCGCCAUUUAAAGUGGUACGCGAGCUGGGUUUAGAACGUCGUGAGACAGUUCGGUCCCUAUCUGCCGUGGGCGCUGGAGAACUGAGGGGGCUGCUCCUAGUACGAGAGGACCGGAGUGGACGCAUCACUGGUGUUCGGGUUGUCAUGCCAAUGGCACUGCCCGGUAGCUAAAUGCGGAAGAGAUAAGUGCUGAAAGCAUCUAAGCACGAAACUUGCCCCGAGAUGAGUUCUCCCUGACCCUUUAAGGGUCCUGAAGGAACGUUGAAGACGACGACGUUGAUAGGCCGGGUGUGUAAGCGCAGCGAUGCGUUGAGCUAACCGGUACUAAUGAACCGUGAGGCUUAACCUUACAACGCCGAAGCUGUU
RNAcentral lists this ribosomal RNA (2928 nucleotides) under Escherichia coli. RNAcentral's name for it is "bacterial LSU rRNA". It matches the Rfam family "Bacterial large subunit ribosomal RNA". The record is from RNAcentral. Lineage: Bacteria; Pseudomonadati; Pseudomonadota; Gammaproteobacteria; Enterobacterales; Enterobacteriaceae.